This 1397-nucleotide ribosomal RNA is filed under the name Lactiplantibacillus plantarum. RNAcentral's name for it is "bacterial SSU rRNA". It matches the Rfam family "Bacterial small subunit ribosomal RNA", at positions 69 to 1441 of the family's 1533-position model. The record is from RNAcentral. Lineage: Bacteria; Bacillati; Bacillota; Bacilli; Lactobacillales; Lactobacillaceae.
AUUGAUUGGUGCUUGCAUCAUGAUUUACAUUUGAGUGAGUGGCGAACUGGUGAGUAACACGUGGGAAACCUGCCCAGAAGCGGGGGAUAACACCUGGAAACAGAUGCUAAUACCGCAUAACAACUUGGACCGCAUGGUCCGAGUUUGAAAGAUGGCUUCGGCUAUCACUUUUGGAUGGUCCCGCGGCGUAUUAGCUAGAUGGUGGGGUAACGGCUCACCAUGGCAAUGAUACGUAGCCGACCUGAGAGGGUAAUCGGCCACAUUGGGACUGAGACACGGCCCAAACUCCUACGGGAGGCAGCAGUAGGGAAUCUUCCACAAUGGACGAAAGUCUGAUGGAGCAACGCCGCGUGAGUGAAGAAGGGUUUCGGCUCGUAAAACUCUGUUGUUAAAGAAGAACAUAUCUGAGAGUAACUGUUCAGGUAUUGACGGUAUUUAACCAGAAAGCCACGGCUAACUACGUGCCAGCAGCCGCGGUAAUACGUAGGUGGCAAGCGUUGUCCGGAUUUAUUGGGCGUAAAGCGAGCGCAGGCGGUUUUUUAAGUCUGAUGUGAAAGCCUUCGGCUCAACCGAAGAAGUGCAUCGGAAACUGGGAAACUUGAGUGCAGAAGAGGACAGUGGAACUCCAUGUGUAGCGGUGAAAUGCGUAGAUAUAUGGAAGAACACCAGUGGCGAAGGCGGCUGUCUGGUCUGUAACUGACGCUGAGGCUCGAAAGUAUGGGUAGCAAACAGGAUUAGAUACCCUGGUAGUCCAUACCGUAAACGAUGAAUGCUAAGUGUUGGAGGGUUUCCGCCCUUCAGUGCUGCAGCUAACGCAUUAAGCAUUCCGCCUGGGGAGUACGGCCGCAAGGCUGAAACUCAAAGGAAUUGACGGGGGCCCGCACAAGCGGUGGAGCAUGUGGUUUAAUUCGAAGCUACGCGAAGAACCUUACCAGGUCUUGACAUACUAUGCAAAUCUAAGAGAUUAGACGUUCCCUUCGGGGACAUGGAUACAGGUGGUGCAUGGUUGUCGUCAGCUCGUGUCGUGAGAUGUUGGGUUAAGUCCCGCAACGAGCGCAACCCUUAUUAUCAGUUGCCAGCAUUAAGUUGGGCACUCUGGUGAGACUGCCGGUGACAAACCGGAGGAAGGUGGGGAUGACGUCAAAUCAUCAUGCCCCUUAUGACCUGGGCUACACACGUGCUACAAUGGAUGGUACAACGAGUUGCGAACUCGCGAGAGUAAGCUAAUCUCUUAAAGCCAUUCUCAGUUCGGAUUGUAGGCUGCAACUCGCCUACAUGAAGUCGGAAUCGCUAGUAAUCGCGGAUCAGCAUGCCGCGGUGAAUACGUUCCCGGGCCUUGUACACACCGCCCGUCACACCAUGAGAGUUUGUAACACCCAAAGUCGGUGGGGUAACCU